UGGGAGCAGGCGAUAUCGUAUCAGCUAGUUGGUGAGGUAACGGCUCACCAAGGCGACGACGCGUAGCUGGUCUGAGAGGACGGCCAGCCACAUCGGGACUGAGACACUGCCCGGACUCCUACGGGGGGCUGCAGUAACGAAUCUUCCGCAAUGCACGAAAGUGUGACGGAGCGACGCCGCGUGUAGGAUGAAGUCCUUCGGGAUGUAAACUACUGUCAGGGGAAAGAAAGUUCUGAUCUACCCCAGAGGAAGAGGCGGCUAACUCUGUGCCAGCAGCCGCGGUAAUACAGAGGCCUCGAGUGUUAGGCGGAAUCACUGGGCUUAAAGCGUGUGUAGGUGGAGUUCUAAGUACCUUGUGAAAUCCCACGGCUCAACCGUGGAACUGCUGGGUAUACUGGUUCUCUUGAGGUACCUAGGGGCGAGCGGAACAAGUGGUGGAGCGGUGAAAUGCGUAGAUAUCACUUGGAACGCCAACGGUGAAAACAGCUCGCUGGGGGUAUCSUGACACUGAGACACGAAAGCCAGGGGAGCAAACGGGAUUAGAUACCCCGGUAGUCCUGGCCCUAAACGAUGUCCACUAGAUCGAAGUGCCUCUGACGGUAUUUCGGUCGAAGCAAAAGUGCUAAGUGGACCGCCUGGGAAGUACGGUCGCAAGGCUAAAACUCAAAGGAAUUGACGGGGGCUCACACAAGCGGUGGAGCAUGUGGUUUAAUUCGAAGCAACGCGCAGAACCUUACCUGGGUUUGACAUGCUAGGAUUACCCCGAUGAAAGUCGGGUACGCCUUCGGGUGGAACUAGCACAGGUGCUGCAUGGCUGUCGUCAGCUCGUGUCGUGAGAUGUCGGGUUAAGUCCCUUAACGAGCGAAACCUUUGCCCUUAGUUACUAACGGGUUAUGCCGAGGACUCUAAGGGGACUGCC
RNAcentral lists this ribosomal RNA (919 nucleotides) under uncultured Tepidisphaeraceae bacterium. RNAcentral's name for it is "bacterial SSU rRNA". The record is from RNAcentral. Lineage: Bacteria; Pseudomonadati; Planctomycetota; Phycisphaerae; Tepidisphaerales; Tepidisphaeraceae.